AGAGUUUGAUCCUGGCUCAGAACGAACGCUGGCGGCGCGCCUAAUACAUGCAAGUCGAGCGAGAAGACGUAGCAAUACGUUUGUAAAGCGGCGAACGGGUGAGGAAUACAUGGGUAACCUACCCUUGAGUGGGGAAUAACUAGCCGAAAGGUUAGCUAAUACCGCAUACGACUCUCGGUCUGCGGAUCGGGAGAGAAAGCGAUACCGUGGGUAUCGCGCUCUUGGAUGGGCUCAUGUCCUAUCAGCUUGUUGGUGAGGUAACGGCUCACCAAGGCUUCGACGGGUAGCUGGUCUGAGAGGACGAUCAGCCACACUGGCACUGCGACACGGGCCAGACUCCUACGGGAGGCAGCAGUAAGGAAUAUUGCGCAAUGGGCGACAGCCUGACGCAGCGACGCCGCGUGGGGGAUGAAGGUCUUCGGAUUGUAAACCCCUUUCGGCAGGGAAGAUGGAACGGGUAACCGUUCGGACGGUACCUGCAGAAGCAGCCACGGCUAACUUCGUGCCAGCAGCCGCGGUAAUACGAAGGUGGCAAGCGUUGU
Molecule: ribosomal RNA, 542 nt
Filed under: uncultured Nitrospirota bacterium
Lineage: Bacteria; Pseudomonadati; Nitrospirota
Description: bacterial SSU rRNA
Rfam family: Bacterial small subunit ribosomal RNA
Source: RNAcentral